This 229-nucleotide ribosomal RNA is filed under the name uncultured bacterium. RNAcentral describes it as "partial 16S ribosomal RNA". It matches the Rfam family "Bacterial small subunit ribosomal RNA", at positions 568 to 796 of the family's 1533-position model. The record is from RNAcentral.
UCCGUAGGUGGAUAAUUAAGUAAGGGGUGAAAGUCUGCAGCUCAACUGUAGAAUUGCCCUUGAUACUGGUUGUCUUGAGUCAUUAUGAAGUAGUUAGGAUAUGUAGUGUAGCGGUGAAAUGCAUAGAUAUUACAUAGAAUACCAAUUGCGAAGGCAGAUUACUAAUAAUGUACUGACACUGAUGGACGAAAGCGUGGGGAGCGAACAGGAUUAGAUACCCUGGUAGUCC